Molecule: ribosomal RNA, 490 nt
Filed under: uncultured bacterium
Lineage: Bacteria
Description: partial 16S ribosomal RNA
Rfam family: Bacterial small subunit ribosomal RNA
Source: RNAcentral
AUUGAACGCUGGCGGCAUGCCUAACACAUGCAAGUCGAACGGUAACAGGAAGAAGCUUGCUUCUUUGCUGACGAGUGGCGGACGGGUGAGUCAUGUCUGGGAAACUGCCUGAUGGAGGGGGAUAACUACUGGAAACGGUAGCUAAUACCGCAUAACGUCGCAAGACCAAAAAGGGGGCCCUUCGUUCCUCUUGCCAUCGGAUGUGCCCAGAUGGGAUUAUCUAGGAGGUGGGGUAACGGCUCACCUAUGCGACGAUCCCUAGCUGGUCUGAGAGGAUGACCAGCCACACUGGAACUGAGACACGGUCCAGACUCCUACGGGAGGCAGCAGUGGGGAAUAUUGCACAAUGGGGGAAAGGCUGAUGCAGCAAUGCCGCGUGUAUGAAGAAGGCCUUCGGGUGGUAAAGUACUUUCAGCGGGGAGGAAGGGAGUAAAGUUAAUACCUUUGCUCAUUGACGUUACCCGCAGAAGAAGCACCGGCUAACUCCGUG